GACGUAGGGCGCGAGCGUUGUCCGGAUUUAUUGGGCGUAAAGAGCGUGUAGGCGGCCCGGUAAGUCCGCUGUAAAAGUCAAAGGCUCAACCUUUGAAUGUCAGUGGAUACUGCCGGGCUAGAGUCCGGAAGAGGCGAGUGGAACUCCUGGUGUAGCGGUGGAAUGCGCAGAUAUCAGGAAGAACACCAACGGCGAAGGCAGCUCGCUGGGACGGUACUGACGCUGAGACGCGAAAGCGUGGGGAGCGAACAGG
RNAcentral lists this ribosomal RNA (253 nucleotides) under uncultured bacterium. RNAcentral's name for it is "partial 16S ribosomal RNA". It matches the Rfam family "Bacterial small subunit ribosomal RNA", at positions 524 to 776 of the family's 1533-position model. The record is from RNAcentral.